Molecule: ribosomal RNA, 124 nt
Filed under: Lepisosteus oculatus (spotted gar)
Lineage: Eukaryota; Metazoa; Chordata; Actinopteri; Semionotiformes; Lepisosteidae
Source: RNAcentral
GCCAGCAGCCAUAUCAUCCUGCAACUCACCAUUAGCAACCCACUGAAGCUCAGCAGGUGUGGGCCUGGGCAGUACCUACUGUAGAUGGGAGACCUCCUGGGAAAAGCUAAGGUUGCUGCUGGAA